UGGGGAAUUUUGGACAAUGGGCGAAAGCCUGAUCCAGCAAUGCCGCGUGUGUGAAGAAGGCCUUCGGGUUGUAAAGCACUUUUGUCCGGAAAGAAAUCCUUGGCUCUAAUACAGUCGGGGGAUGACGGUACCGGAAGAAUAAGCACCGGCUAACUACGUGCCAGCAGCCGCGGUAAUACGUAGGGUGCAAGCGUUAAUCGGAAUUACUGGGCGUAAAGUGUGCGCAGGCGGUUUGCUAAGACCGAUGUGAAAUCCCCGGGCUCAACCUGGGAACUGCAUUGGUGACUGGCAGGCUAGAGUAUGGCAGAGGGGGGUAGAAUUCCACGUGUAGCAGUGAAAUGCGUAGAGAUGUGGAGGAAUACCGAUGGCGAAGGCAGCCCCCUGGGCCAAUACUGACGCUCAUGCACGAAAGCGUGGGGAGCAAACAGGAUUAGAUACCCUGGUAGUCCACGCCCUAAACGAUGUCAACUAGUUGUUGGGGAUUCAUUUCCUUAGUAACGUAGCUAACGCGUGAAGUUGACCGCCUGGGGAGUACGGUCGCAAGAUUAAAACUCAAAUGAAUUG
This 564-nucleotide ribosomal RNA is filed under the name uncultured bacterium. Its description in RNAcentral is "partial 16S ribosomal RNA". It matches the Rfam family "Bacterial small subunit ribosomal RNA", at positions 355 to 912 of the family's 1533-position model. The record is from RNAcentral.